GAACGAACGCUGGCGGCAGGCCUAACACAUGCAAGUCGAGCGCCCCCGUUCAGUCGGCUCAGCGAUUGAAGCUGAGUACUGAUGGGGAGCGGCGGACGGGUGAGUAACGCGUGGGAAUUUUCCUCAAGGUACGGAACAACUCAGGGAAACUUGGGCUAAUACCGUAUGAUGCAGAGAUGCCAAAGAUUUAUCGCCUUGGGAUAAGCCCGCGUCAGAUUAGGUAGUUGGUGGGGAAUGGCCUACCAAGCCUGCGAUCUGUAGCUGGUCUGAGAGGACGAUCAGCCACACUGGGACUGAGACACGGGCCCAGACUCCUACGGGAGGCAGCAGUGGGGAAUCUUGCGCAAUGGGCGAAAGCCUGACGCAG
Molecule: ribosomal RNA, 367 nt
Filed under: uncultured bacterium
Lineage: Bacteria
Description: bacterial SSU rRNA
Rfam family: Bacterial small subunit ribosomal RNA
Source: RNAcentral